UGCAAGUCGAACGGUAACAGCACUUCGGUGGCUGACGAGUGGCGAACGGGUGAGUAAUACAUCGGAACGUGCCCGAGAGUGGGGGAUAACGCAGCGAAAGCUGUGCUAAUACCGCAUACGAUCUACGGAUGAAAGCAGGGGACCGCAAGGCCUUGCGCUCAUGGAGCGGCCGAUGGCAGAUUAGGUAGUUGGUGGGAUAAAAGCUUACCAAGCCGACGAUCUGUAGCUGGUCUGAGAGGACGACCAGCCACACUGGGACUGAGACACGGCCCAGACUCCUACGGGAGGCAGCAGUGGGGAAUUUUGGACAAUGGGCGAAAGCCUGAUCCAGCCAUGCCGCGUGCAGGAUGAAGGCCUUCGGGUUGUAAACUGCUUUUGUACGGAACGAAAAGGUCUUUUCUAAUAAAGAAGGCUCAUGACGGUACCGUAAGAAUAAGCACCGGCUAACUACGUGCCAGCAGCCGCGGUAAUACGUAGGGUGCAAGCGUUAAUCGGAAUUACUGGGCGUAAAGCGUGCGCAGGCGGUUAUAUAAGACAGAUGUGAAAUCCCCGGGCUCAACCUGGGAACUGCAUUAGUGACUGUAUAGCUAGAGUGCGGCAGAGGGGGAUGGAAUUCCGCGUGUAGCAGUGAAAUGCGUAGAUAUGCGGAGGAACACCGAUGGCGAAGGCAAUCCCCUGGGCCUGCACUGACGCUCAUGCACGAAAGCGUGGGGAGC
This 716-nucleotide ribosomal RNA is filed under the name uncultured bacterium. RNAcentral's name for it is "bacterial SSU rRNA". It matches the Rfam family "Bacterial small subunit ribosomal RNA", at positions 56 to 769 of the family's 1533-position model. The record is from RNAcentral.